RNAcentral lists this ribosomal RNA (690 nucleotides) under Triticum aestivum (bread wheat). Its description in RNAcentral is "partial small subunit ribosomal RNA". Lineage: Eukaryota; Viridiplantae; Streptophyta; Magnoliopsida; Poales; Poaceae. The record is from RNAcentral.
AUGGCAGAAGAAUCGGGCAACUACGGCGACUACUACGUCCUCACCAUUGAACCUGAACCAGAUCAGCCUGCCGAUGCCGCCGCCGACGAUCAGACGACCUUUUGGCUGGGCACGCUGGCGAUGUUGGUCUUGCUGGCGGUUUCUGUAGGCUUGGCCAUCUACAUGUGGCGCCUCACUUAUGUUCUGGAGCCUGGAUACUCGGUACGGUUUACUGGCGUCCAAGGGCUCGACCCCUCGCAGAACCCUGCCAUCUCGCCGGCCUUCAACCUCACCGUCCACGUUAACAACAAGCAGCACAUGCGACGAGUCUAUCAGGAGGAGAACACCGUGAUCGUCUACUACGACGAAGGCAGUAGUAACUCCACGACGAGAAGCAUCGGAUGGGGCAAGAUGCCUGCCUUCUGCGUGGAUAGGUGGUCGACGACGGACCUUGACGUGUCCCUGUCUAAUCAGGGCUUGUUCCUCUCUCAGAGGUCGCGGGAGAAGAUGGAGGCCGACCUGAAAAGCGCACAAAUUCAUAUCAGCGUUGAGAUUAAGCCAGCCCAUCCAGAGGAGUCCUCUAAGCCAUGCCUCACCUUGUGUGGUGGCAAGGCCAUCGGCCAGUCCUUCCCAGCACUGUCAGCGAUGCCGAUGCCGAUGCCGUCCAAGUGCAGCACACUGUGUGCGACAGAAAGAAAGUACAUUUACUAA